RNAcentral lists this ribosomal RNA (484 nucleotides) under uncultured bacterium. RNAcentral's name for it is "partial 16S ribosomal RNA". It matches the Rfam family "Bacterial small subunit ribosomal RNA", at positions 30 to 507 of the family's 1533-position model. The record is from RNAcentral.
AUUGAACGCUGGCGGCAGGCCUAACACAUGCAAGUCGAGCGGAUGAAGGGAGCUUGCUCCUGGAUUCAGCGGCGGACGGGUGAGUAAUGCCUAGGAAUCUGCCUGGUUGUGGGGGAUAACGUCCGGAAACGGGCGCUAAUACCGCAUACGUCCUGAGGGAGAAAGUGGGGGAUCUUCGGACCUCACGCUAUCAGAUGAGCCUAGGUCGGAUUAGCUAGUUGGUGGGGUAAAGGCCUACCAAGGCGACGAUCCGUAACUGGUCUGAGAGGAUGAUCAGUCACACUGGAACUGAGACACGGUCCAGACUCCUACGGGAGGCAGCAGUGGGGAAUAUUGGACAAUGGGCGAAAGCCUGAUCCAGCCAUACCGCGUGUGUGAAGAAGGUCUUCGGAUUGUAAAGCACUUUAAGUUGGGAGGAAGAGCAGUAAGUUAAUACCUUGCUGUUUUGACGUUACCAACAGAAUAAGCACCGGCUAACUUCGUG